Pseudophryne corroboree (corroboree frog) is the source of this 520-nucleotide long non-coding RNA. RefSeq lists it as uncharacterized. NCBI's taxonomy places the organism in Eukaryota, Metazoa, Chordata, Amphibia, Anura, Myobatrachidae. The record is from RefSeq and is a predicted model, not a curated record. The transcript is spliced from 3 exons.
GCCAUUGCAGAUUACACUGUUUUUGCCUAGUCCCUUUCCCAAGCAGGACUGCACUGCAUGUAGAAAAGACACAUAAUCAGAAAACUGGGAUUCACUGAAGUUCCUACAAAAGAACCAUCUUAUACUGUGCCAGUGUUGGAAUACAGUGGCAGCCAGAAAAAAAGCCCAACGAAAUACAACUGGCAGGAGGAGGAAUGAAUGGCAACAGGUGUCAUAGAUAGUGUGAAACAUCGUAUGAGACAGCCAUACUCUGUGGACAGGCAUACUGGCAUGCACAUACGCCUGCUUCCGAUAUUGCACUAAUUACUGGAUAUGUCAGAAGGCAGGGAAGGUUGGCUUCCUCUGAUGUAGGGAAUGGCUCAAGCUGUUACAUUUUGUGUGCUCUUGAUUUAUUAUUUUUACCUCUGUCACCAACACCACACAGCCAGUGUUGUGCCCCCGGCUCUUCACCCACAGUCUCUGACACAUAAUGCUGAACUUUUAUUUGCAGUAAAAUACAGUGCAAUAUAUAGUUGCUUAC